Long non-coding RNA from Lathyrus oleraceus (garden pea), 11091 nucleotides. RefSeq lists it as uncharacterized. The record is from RefSeq and is a predicted model, not a curated record. NCBI's taxonomy places the organism in Eukaryota, Viridiplantae, Streptophyta, Magnoliopsida, Fabales, Fabaceae. The transcript has 3 exons.
ACUAAUCACAAACUUUGCAACUUGCUCACUCACUUAAAACACACACACUCAUACUCUACUUGUUCCUCUUCACGUGUCUCAUUACUACGCACAACCACAUUUUCUCUCUUGUUUCCUUUUCUCAUUCCAAAUAAUUUAUAACCAAUCACAAAACAUUUAAAUUUGCAACUAGCUGACUCACACGAAACACUAACACUCACACAUUUCCUGUGACCUUACCUAUUCUUCACCGUACUUCCUCUUUGUAUAUAUAUAUAUAUAUAACUCAUCUUACUCUUCACUCUUAAAACUAAUUCUAUAGUUUUCACUUUUCCUCUGAAAAAAUUCAAAAUUCUUCUUCCUAUUCAGACACCCAUUUAUCUAAGUUCCUCUUCCUAUUCAUAUCCCAUUUCUAAAAAUUUCAAAAUUCAAAACCCCAUGUAUAUGUGUUUCAAGAAGAGGAACUUAGAUAAAUGUGUUUUUGAAAUGAGAGAAUUCGACAAAAAAACCGAAAAUUUGGCAAGGGAUUUUUCAAAUGAUGGCAACCCGCAGUCCGUUAUGCUUGUCUCAAAUUCAUAGAAAACUUUCAAGAUGAUGAGGGAUGCAGUGAUGGAUGCAGUUACAGAUAUGGUCAUUGCAAAGGUGAUUUCAUUUGUCGAUAACACAAACUCAAUAGAAUGAACCUAAUACAUAGCCAAAGUCAAAUAUUAGCCUAAAAUAGUUAUAAAUUUAAUACUCUAAAAUUCUUUUUCCCUCAUUUUACCCUUCAUUUAAAAGAAAAAAUAAAAUAAAGUUUUCUAUAUUCUGUGUAAUAUGUAAUAAUGAUAUAGCCAUUAUUUGUUAAAUUAAAUAUUUUGUAACAUUAAUUAUAAUUUAUCUAUUAACUAUAAUGGAUUGCUCAGUACUUAAACUCGAAAAUAAUAGGAUGGAGUAGGAAAUUCUUUAUUUAAUUAAAUAAAAUAAAAUAAAAAGUAUUCCUAAGUCGUUAAUGCAUCUUUAAUUGACGACGGUUUUUUCUAAAUAUAUACAUUUAAACCUGAAAAUUUUUUAUUGGAGAAAUCUUAAAUUUUAACUCUUGGACAGUAUGUAAUACACUAAAAAAGUUUGUUUUAAAAAUCAUCUUUUCUAAAAAUAUAUUUUAAUUUUAGAGAGUAACUUAUAGUCAUUUCCUCCCUAUUAGUUUAUCAUCUAACAUUAGGUGGACAAGCACACAUAUCAAUACAUGCUCGAAAGGCAGAUUGAAGUAGUGAGGUCAGAAUAUCAAAAUGUCUGUCUUAAGUAGAUUAAGAUCAGGACUAAGGAGCAGGGACAGAGUCACUUAUACUCUUAUGUAUGCAUAUGCCCCCAAUAACAUUUCACUUAUAUGUACUAAUAUAAAAUAUUGACAUGUAUAUAUAUUAUUUAUUUUUUAUAAUCAGCAAUAUAUUCAAAGAAAGGAGGGUCCAAGGGAAAUCCAAACCCAACAGGAUAAAAGAAAGAAAAACAUCACUAGGAUGUCAAACCACUAAUACAACACCGGCCCUUGACUAUCAAUCCCUACCAAAAAUCAAUUGGACUUUUAUACCAUCCAUAGUAAUUACACUUAGGCUUGUUCAUAAAAGUUAAAUUCAAGCACCACCAAGAGAAAUGAAUAACUCUAAGAAAAACUUCUUUUGGGACAACAACAAUAUCAUUGAAAAUCACCUGAUUUCUUGUCCACCAAAGACACCAAUAUGUUGCCAACCAGAUUAUGCAAGCAAUAGAUUUCGAUGUUUUCCCUAUCACUUUUAAGAACCAAGACAACAUAUGAUCAACACAAUUUGAAAUUAUUGGAAUACAAAUUCCCAACCAAUUCCCAACCAUUUCCAAACCAUUCUAGUUCUAGGACAGAUUAAAAAGACAUAGUCUGCUUCUUCGACUUCAUGAAAACAAAAAACACAAGCCUUGUCGUGUGAAUUUGAAAUCACGCCUAUAUCCCCAAGAUUUGACCGCGUAGGCAAACGAUUAAGAAGCACUCUCCAACCAAAAACUUUAACCUUCAAUGGGACCCUAUACACCCACAAAAUAUCUAAUGCCAACUUCAAAUUUGGUUGCAGAGGGAAGAAACCUGCAUCAUGGUUGAGAAUAUCAUAGCAGGAUUUUACGUAAAAAAUGUUGAAAGAACCUUUUGGCCAGCCAACAACAUCCUCUUGUCCACGAAUAGGUUUUGCUUCAUCCUGAAGCAAACCGAUGUCACGAGAGUCCUCUUCCACGCCACUAUCCAAUUCCAUGUUUAAACCCUCCAACUCCCACUACCAAUGAUCUCCCACUCACCUGCCACAGUCUAUAACCACAACAUGUUUAUUCCCCGAUACUUCAAACAAAUCAGAAAAAUGGCUCCUCAAUGGUGAAACACCUAACCAUUUAGAAUGCCAAAAAUAAGUAAAAGCACCACCCCCAACUUCCAAGACAACUGAUUAUAAAAACCUUCCUCUUGUAUUGAGUCUCCAAUCCCCAUGAUAUCCUUCCACCAUAUUGAUUCAAAGCUAGUUACGCUUUGGACAUCUUUAACAAGAACUCUUCUCCUCAAGUUACCGUAUUUUGCUUCAAGAAAUCCCACCCAAAUUGCAUUUGGAUCAUGGAUGAACCUCCAUAACCACUUAGAUAACAAAGCUCUAUUAAAAAUAGCCACAUCUUUAAUUCCUAACCCUCCAACAUCCUUUAGCUUGCAUACUAUAGACCAUCUCACGCACGACAUAUAAUAUUUAUCAGUCGAGCCAGCCCAUAAAAUUUCCCACUGAAUAGACUUUAUCUCCUUGAUCACUUUAACCGGGACUUUAUAGAAAUAAAGAUGGUGAAUAGGCAUAUUGGUUAACACCAAAUUAAUAAGCGCCACAUUUCCUCCAGUUGAUAAUAACAUGUCUUUCCAAGAGGAUAAUCUAGCCUUAAUACAGUCAAUAAUCAGUUUCCAAAAAUAAACCCUUCUAUGUUUACCUUCAAUAGUUAAACCAAGGAAUUUUAAAGGUAAUAAACCCUUCUUACAAGCAAAAAAUUUAGAAGCUUCCAUCAAGAACGAUUCUUCCACCCCAAUGCCAUACAAACAGUUUUUCCAGAAAUUUAUUUUCAAGCCAAAGAUCAAUUCAAAUCCUCUUAGAAUGGACUUUAAACCCCAUAGAUUUGACCAUGAAUUAUCGCAAGUUGUUGUCGUGUCAUCUGCAAAUUGCAAUAAAUUAACAGAAGUGUUGACAUUCAAAUUCACCCUCGUAAGCAUAUUUCUGUUAACAACCCUCAUAACCAAAUAAGCCAAACAUUCUGCCAUUAUAGAAAACAAAAAUGGAGAUAAUGGAUCUCCUUGUCGAAGCCCCAUCGUCACCUUAAAAUCUUUGGUUGUUCUCCCAUUAACCAACACAGAAAGAUAGCUAUUAAAAACCACUCCUUUCAUCCAUUGCAUCCACUUGACACUAAAGUUCAUUGCCAACAACACCUUCUGCAGCAGUCGUAUGCUUGAGCGAAGUCCACUUUGAGAAGUAGACAACUUUUCUUCUUCCUAAUUGCAAAGUCUAUGAGUUCAUUUUCCACGACAACUCCAUCUAGUAUUUGUCUCCCUAGUAUGAAUGUUGUUUGAGAAGUUGAGACAAGUUUACCAAUAACCAAACUCAAUCUUGUAGCCAACAGUUUCAGCACUACCUUGUAAAUGCAUCCUAUUAAGCUAAUAGGCCUGAAUUCUUCCAGGUUUUGAGGAUUUUCUCGUUUAGGUAUUAACGUAAUGAGGAACACAGAGCUUUUGGCAAGAAAGCAGUCUGAUGGAACUCUUGAAUUUAAUUUACUACAUUAACAUCAAUUACCCCUAACACUUCUUAAUGAAAACCAUAUUAAAAUCAUCGGGUUCUGGGCUUUUAUUCCCAUCGCAGCCAUUCAUAACCUUGAGAAUCUCCUCACCAGUGAAAGGCUCUUGUAACCUUACAUUAUCAUCAGAAGAAAGCUUAGGAAAUUCAGAUAAAUCCAAACCUGGCCUACACGAAUCAAGGUUCUAGAACGUGGCAGCAAAAUAAUCCUUUAUGGUUUUCUUUACAUUGGUAACAUCAUCCACACCAACAGUUCCAAUAAUCUGACCCGAGAUUGCAUUCACCUUCAACCUAGUUUUAACCAUGGAAUGAAAAAACCUAGAAUUUGAAUCUCCUUCUUUCACCCAUUUCAUUCUAUAUUUCUGGUUCAAAAAGCUUUCCUUGAGAUGUAAUUUAUUCCAAAUUUCCAAUUGAGCCUCACUCCCCCUCUUUAAAUCUUCCUCAGAGAAAGCCUCACCACAAUCUACCAUUUCAGCGUCAAUGCUAUUAAAAACCCUCACCCCUUCAUCAAUCCUCAAGUCCACCCAACCGAAAACAUGAUUAUUCCACCAUCUUAAUUUCUCCCUAAGGCCCUUAAGUUUUGCUACAAGAAUAUUACUUGCAUUGUAAGACACGUGAAUGGAGUCUCGAGAUACUUUAACAAAGUUGAUAAAAUCAGGAUGAUCAAACCAAACAUCAAAUUUUUUGAACGGUUUUGGCCCCCAAUCCACAUUAUUUGAGAGGAGGCAAAUCGGCAUAUGAUCUGAAACAUCUAUAUCUCCCACCUUUUGAGCCACCACAUUCCACUUCCUAAUCAAUUGAUCAGACAAGAGAAUUUUGUCAAGUCUGCUCUUGCAAGUACUAAUAGAAUUGAACCAAGUGAACUUAUUCCCCACAACAGGAAUAUCAAAAAGUUCCAUUAUAUCAAUGAAAGAGGAAAACUCUUCCAUAUCCACUGAUCUUAACCUACCAUUCCCCUUCCUCUCCAAUUCUAACUUCAUUGCAUUAAAAUCUCCUCCAAUCAACCAUUCCCCCAAAAGAAGACUGGAUUUCAAUCUAAUCAAUUGUGACCAAAGAAACCUUUUUUCCACAAGGCUACAAUAGGAAUAUACAUUAAUUAUAUAGCAAUUUGUACCUUUCCGCACCCCCUUGAUCCCUAAAAAACCAUUUCCUUUCAAGCUAAACAAUGGGCAAAACACUGUUUUCUUCCAAAUUGACAAAAUGCCCCCAGAUUGACCAACAAAACCUGAAGUAGACCAUUCAAAAUCAUAAUUUCCCCAUAAACCCCUUACCAACUUGUCAUCUACUACCUGAGUUUUCGUUUCCUGCAGCAAACAAAAAUCUGCUUUUCCACAAGAAACCAUUUGACACACUCUUCUUCUCUUAAUAGAAGAGCCACACCCAUGAACGUUGAAAGUCAUGAGAUUCAUGGAACCCUGAUUUCAACCUCCCUCUUAUCCUUGAAAAAUAUUCUAUCUCUUGACUCCAAAUCUCUAAUGAUACUUUCAAAAACUUUGUCAUUCUUAUCCCCUUUUAACCCCAGUUCUUUAAUAGAAUUCCAAACUUUUGCCGGAACAUCAUCCAAAAAAAUUUAACUCGAUCAUUUCGUUGGUUGACAUCAGUAUCAGUGAUAGAUUUGUUGGUGUAAGCCCUAGACGCCAAUACUUUUGGUACUUGUAUCGAAUUAUUUAUUAAUAAUAAAAGGCUUUUUCCUUAUUAGGUUUGUUUAAUAAAGUCCCUAGAAUAGCUAGUCCGUUUAAUGUAUCAAGUGUGACUUAAUCAUGAGAUCACAUUAAACAUAAGAACACUAUUCUUAAAGUAUCUGUAGUCGAGCUUUAUUGUGAAGUGGGAUAACAUUAAAGCAUUAAGACUAUUAUGUAUAUAGACUGAUGAUCACAUCUCAUGGAUCAUGGAUAAGGAGUUAUCAAAUCUUAAACAUAUGUAUGAAUAUUAAGAGUAAUAUUUAUACUGGAUUGACCCGCUAUGAGAAUAUUAUAUAGAAUGUUAUGCAAAGUGUCAUAAGUUAUUCUCAUGGUGAUAAUGGUGUAUACCACCCUUCGACCUGAAACCACUAUGGACCCUAGAUGUAGAGUCGAGAACCUUAUUGUUGAUCAAACGUUGUCCGUAACUGGAUGACCAUAAAGACAGUUGAUGGGUACUCCACAAAGCAUGCUAAGGGACAUGAGUGACCUAGAUGGAAUUUGCCCAUCCUGCUUAACAGGAUAAAUGUCUAUGGGCCCAAUAUUGAACUGGACAAGGAUGACACGGUCUAUGCCUUGUGUUCAAUAUAGACAUAAGGACAAAAGGGUAAUUAUACACAUAAGUAUUAUCACAAAAGGAUUUGUCAGAUCAUAUGACAUUUUCGUGUCUUGGGUAGCAGUGAUGUGUUGCUAGAUACCGCUCAUUGUUUAUUAUGUUAAAUAUGUGAUUUAAUAUAAUUGUCAAUGCCGCGAAAACCUACAGGGUCACACAUAAAAGGACGGAUUGAUGAGAGAUAGAGUAACUAAGGAACAUCGUAAGGUACUGUGCAUUUAAGUGAAUUGUAGAACAUCGUAAGGUACGGCGUACUUAAGUAGAAUACGAAAUAUGGUAAGGUACCACGCGCUUAAGUGAUUUUGGAAUAUUAUAAGAUAUGGGCCACAUACACUUGAGUGGGCUUUUUAGCUUGCAGCCCAUACAAGUGGUUCUAUAAAUAUAACCCUUGUGUAGAAGCAUUUGUGCAGUUGCAAUUUCGUUUCUCUCUCUCUCACUCAAAGCCUUCAUUCGUAGCAGCUAGCACUGAGAUUGAAGGAAUCCGUUCGUGUGGACUGAGUAGAGGCGUUGUCAUCAUUCAACGUUCGUGAUCGCUCCGUAGAUCUGCAUCAAAGGUUACAAUCGCCACAAGAGGUAACGAUUCUAUCACUGAUCAUGCUCAUUCGUAAGGAUCACUAAAGGAGAAAUUAUAAAUUCCGCUGCGUUUUGGAUCGCUCUUCUCCUUCAGUGGUAUCAGAGCCACUUACGAAACCAUGCAUCUGAUAGCUGUUUAUUUUCUAUAUUUUCUGUAUUAAUACGAUUAAAAGACCGAAUGAAUCAAAGAAUAAACGAGUAAUUAAAUUUGCCAUCAUGUGUGUACGAUUUGGAUGAUUGAUGUUGACUAUGCUUCGGAAUCCGACAUUAGUAUGGUGAAGCAGCGAUACAUCAAUCGUCCAUAGGUUAUGCAAUUGAGAUCGAUCAAGUUAUAUAUAUGAUAUAAGUAAUCUUGAUGCAAAAUACGGUAUAUAUGAUAUAUUGUUUCUGUUUCGUUCAUUCAAACACUUAAUGGUUGUUUUCCUUUGGGCGAUCAAUGGUCGUUUGCUUCUUGAUCCGACAUUAGUAUGGUGAAGCAAUGACGUGUUGAUCAAUCAUACUGAGCCCACAAUCGAGGUGUAUUUGACGGUCUGAAAUUGGUGCAUUAGGGUUAAUGACGGCGAAAGGGUUGUGUUGUCAAAGAGUUAUGCGAUUAGGGUUGUGACUGCGCAAGAGUUGUGCUUUAAAGUAUCAAGUGUUGAUGCGAAAAACGACGUCGAUUUCAAAUGAAUUGUUCAUUAAAAAUUUCGGCCAGGGGCGCUUCCCUCUUGACCCUCGUCCGCUGAUCGGUCAGCGGAACCACCGUCCGCUGAUCAGUCAGUGGAACCCCUGUUCCGCUGACCGGGCAGCGGGCCCCCGGCUAACUCUGCGUAGUGUGAUCGUUCGCCGAAAUUUAAUUUGGUUUUAAUUAAUUAAAAGAAUUAAAAUUAAUAAUAAUAAUGUGUUUAUUAUUAUUGUCUUGUGGUGAUCGGUUAUGGCCUUAGUUUUCCUUUAUUUUAUUUUGGGUUUUUAAAAUACGACAUGCGUGUCGUGCCUCUCUUUUAAUCUCUUAAUGUACCUUCUUUUCUCAUCUCACUCCCUCGUAUGUAAAACGAGUUUCUUUUAUGUAAUGUAAUGUUAUGAAGAAAGAGAAGAAUUCAAUAUCAAAGGAGGACAACCUUGAAGAUCUUGCUUGGAGAAGCUUAGAUCGUUAUUAGGUUAGCUUAGGUUCUCUCAUUGGCUUGGGAGAACAAUUGCGCUAGGGGCCAUAACUGUUUUAUUAUGUAUGUUGAUGUCUGUGAAUAUAUGUUGAUGCAUGUGAGAGACGAUUUAUAUGAUAAAUAAGCCGGUGAGAUCAGAAUAAUUUCAAAUUCCCUCAAAUUAAAUAUUAAGUUUAUGCUUUCCAAGUUUUAGCACUCAUCAAGACUAGUAUCGAAUAAUGUAGGUUUCGCCUAUGCAAGGUGCAUGUUCUAUAUUAUUAAGGUGCGAUGAGAUAAUUGUAAUAUCCAAUUGCUAAAACAAUGGGUCAAAAUUAACUAAACAAAUUAUAAUAAGAUUAUAUAUGUUUAGAAGCAAGAGUUGGAAAUGAUCCAUGUGAUGGAUUGGAAUAAGGAGUUAUUCACCCAACUAAAAUAUUCGAGAGUUGUAUUAGAUACAAUUGGAAGGAGUUCCUACCUAAAUAACCUAGUUUUGUGUAAUCCGCCUACGUGGACUUAAAACAAAGUGAAAUGUGGAUCUCGACCCACUAGAAAAUCUUCCAACGGGAUUUUCCGAAUCAAAUGGUGAGGGUCAUUUGUUUUGAGUAAAAUAGUUGUAGCAUAUUUAAUUAAAGGCCUAAUUAAAUAUGUUUUUGAUACUUAUAUUUUUCAUUAUUUUCAUGUAGAUUACCAUGACAACAAACACCUCUAACAACAUUUUGCGAUCAAUCCUUGACAAGGAAAAAUUGUCUGGGACAAAUUUUCUGGAUUGGCACCGAAAUUUGAGGAAUUUCCUCAAACAUGAUAGAAAGUUGUAUGUCUUGGAGAAACCUGUUCCUGAAGAGGGACCUCCUAGUUCUGCACCUAAGGCAGAAAGAGAUGCUUAUAAGAAGCAUGUCGAUGAUGCCAAUGAAAUUGCUUGUCUCAUGCUAGCUACCAUGAACUCAAAGUUGCAAAAGCAACAUGAGAACAUGGCAGCGUUCGAUAUGAUCGAACACCUGAAGAUGCUCUAUCAGGAGCAAGCAAGGCAUGAAAGGUUUGAAGUUUCAAAAGCCCUUUUUCAAGGCAAGUUAGCUGAGGGAGCCCUUGUAGGUCCCCAUGUGCUCAAGAUGAUUGGGUAUGUGGAAAACCUUGAGAGGUUGGGUUUUCCCCUCAGAAAGGAACUUGCGACUGAUUUGAUCUUGCAAUCAUUGCCAGAUAUAUUCAGUCAAUUUGUCCUAAAUUUCAAUAUGAAUGAUAUGGACAAAUCUCUUCCUGAACUGCUAGCCAUGUUAAGAACUGCUGAGCAGAAUCUGAAGUCAAAAGGGAAGUCCAUUCUGAUGAUCGGAAAUGGAAAGAGACAGAACAAAAGACCCACCAAGAAGGGUGAUAAAGGGAAAGGCAAGGAAGUUUCCAAACCCAAACCCAUUGUUGCUGCUUUAAAGCCUAGUGGAGGCAUAGCAAAGGAAGGCACCUGCUUCCAUUGCGGUAAGAUCGGACACUGGAAGAGAAACUGCCCAAAGUACCUGGAAGAUAAGAAGAAUGGAGUAGAGACUUCAACUUUAGGGGCUAAAAAGGAGUAGAGAUUUGGCAAAAGGUGAAGUUGACCUACGAGUUGACAAUGGAGCAAAGGUUGCUGCUUUAGCCGUAGGAGCUUAUGUAUUGACUUUACCUAGUGGUUUAAUAAUUCAGUUAGAGAACUGUUAUUAUGUACCUGCAAUUAGCAGGAAUAUUAUUUCCGUUUCUGUCUGGACAAGUUUGGUUUUUCAUUUAUAAUAAAGAACAAUUAUUGCUCAAUUUAUUUGAAUGAUAUAUUUUAUGCUACUGCACAAAUGAACAAUGGACUAUAUGUCCUUGACCUUGAAAUGCUUAUUUAUAACAUUAAUACUAAAAGGAUGAAACCUAAUGAGUUAAAUCCAACUUACCUUUGGCAUUGUCGAUUAGGCCACAUAAAUGAGAAACGCAUUUCCAAACUCCAUAAAGAUGGACUCUUGGACUCUUUUGAUUAUGAAUCAUAUGAGACAUGCAGAUCUUGUUUAAUUGGAAAGAUGACGAAGUCUCCAUUCAUAGGAAAAGGUGAAAGAGCUAAUGAUCUUUUGGCCCUCAUACAUAUUGAUGUAUGUGGACCACUGGACAUACCAGCCAGAGGAGGUUUUCAAUACUUCAUCACAUUUACUGAUGAUUUCAGUAGAUAUGGUUAUGUGUAUUUAAUGAAACACAAAUCAGAGUCCUUUGAAAAGUUCAAGGAAUUCAAGAAUGAAGUACAAAACCAACUAGGUAAGAAUAUUAAAACUCUUCGAUCAGAUCGAGGUGGUGAGUAUUUAAGCCUAGAGUUUGAUGACCAUCUGAAAGAGUGUGGGAUCCUAUCCCAACUUACUCCUCCUGGAACACCCCAAUGGAAUGGUGUAUCUGAGAGAAGAAAUCGAACCCUGUUAGACAUGGUCCGAUCCAUGAUGAGUCACGCCGAUCUUCCAAACUCCUUUUGGGGACAUGCAUUAUUAACAACAGCUUACACACUUAACCGUGUUCCAUCCAAAAAGGUUGAGAAGACACCAUGUGAGAUAUGGAGUGGUAAGAAACCACAUAUGUCUUACAUGAAGAUUUGGGGUUGCGAAGUUUAUGUGAAAUGACAAAUUUCAACUAAGCUUGAGCCCAAAUCUGAAAUUUCUUAUUUGUGGGGUAUCCUAAAGAAACAAGAGGGUAUUACUUCUACAAUCCUUCUGAGGGCAAAGUGUUUGUCGCUCGAACUAGAGUUUUCCUAGAAAAGGAUUUUAUUUCCAAAGGUAUUAGUGGGAGGAAAUUAGAGCUUGAAGAAAUUCAAGAAUCACAAAGUAUUGAUACACCUAUAGAGGAAUUAGAGCAGGAAACGCAAGUAGUUGUGGAAGAGCAACCUGCUCAAGUAGAACAAGACCAGCGUAGGUCAAGCAGGAUACGUCACCUACCUGAGAGAUAUGGAUAUCUCAUAACUGAUCAAGGUGAUGUAUUACUCAUGGAUCAAGAUGAGCCUGUGACCUACCAAGAGGUCAUAACUGGUCCCGAGUCUGAGAAGUGGCUAGAAGCCAUGAAAUCUGAAAUGGAUUCCAUGUACACAAACCAUGUUUGGACCUUGGUAGAGCCUUUUGUAGGAGUUAACCCUAUAAGAUGCAAGUGGGUCUUCAAAAAGAAGACUAACAUGGAUGGUAAGGUACAUACCUAUAAGGCAAGAUUGGUUGCAAAAGGAUAUAAAACAAAUUCAUGGGGUUGACUAUGAUGAAACCUUUUCACCAGUUGCAAUGCUUAAAUCUGUUCGGAUUUUACUUGCUAUCGUUGCAUAUCAUGAUUAUGAAAUAUGGCAGAUGGAUGUCAAAACU